AAGCAUGUUAUGAGGUUGAUCGCAAGGC
This 28-nucleotide small RNA is filed under the name Bombyx mori (domestic silkworm). Its description in RNAcentral is "ovarian small RNA-10574". Lineage: Eukaryota; Metazoa; Arthropoda; Insecta; Lepidoptera; Bombycidae. The record is from RNAcentral.